Molecule: ribosomal RNA, 465 nt
Filed under: Triticum aestivum (bread wheat)
Lineage: Eukaryota; Viridiplantae; Streptophyta; Magnoliopsida; Poales; Poaceae
Description: partial small subunit ribosomal RNA
Source: RNAcentral
AUGGAAAUAUGGAAUGGACUGAGAAUUGGAGAAUGUAACACGACUGCCAUCUUUAGCACUUUGAAAUGCACGCAACACAGAACACAUAACAGGCAUGCAGUCACAAGCAGAACACGAGAGGGAUCGCGACCAGAAGCGCAUACGUACCAUGUCCAAGGAUUACCCGCGGCCAAGAAACCACCCGCCUCGCCCCCCGGCACAUACGCCCAAGCUUCAGAACGCGCCCCACGCUUCAGAACGCGCCUGCUCCACGAUUCCGUCCUGCUUCUCUUCGGCCACCCGCAGUCCAAGAACCGGCAUCCGGGUCGGCAUUUCGCCAAACGCCCUGAGCGCGCCGGCGCUCAGCACACGAAAGGCCGGCACAUUGCAUCGGAGGGGCGAGCAUGGGACGGGGCGAGCGUGCAAGAGGGGAUGCGGCGCGAGUGUGGCGGCAUGCGAGGAGGAGGCCGGAGGCACCUCCGGUGA